GGGAACAUGCAAAGCACAUAUAGAAACAUGAGAUAGAAAAAAUUAAAAAAAUUCGGAACAUACUAUAAAGAUCAAGUUUAGCUUGCUAUGCAUACUAAUGAAUUUUCCAAAUGGUCUUUCAGCUUACAUUAGCUGCUCAAUUUUUGUUGUGUGCUUACAUGAAAUGUAUAGUGGAUUAGCUUCCUUCUAUACACAACUAGCUGAAAAGUAUCUUAGGGAUUUCUCAUAAUCUUCAAAUAUGUUGGUUUCUUUUUCAAGUGAACAUUUUAGCCAUUUUUAAAGAUAAACAUUACUAUUAUGAUAGAACAUUUCAUUUAACUUCUUCAAU
This 328-nucleotide long non-coding RNA is filed under the name Bos taurus (domestic cattle). RNAcentral's name for it is "long non-coding RNA NONBTAT020040". Lineage: Eukaryota; Metazoa; Chordata; Mammalia; Artiodactyla; Bovidae. The record is from RNAcentral.